UUAGUUUUGUUUCAUGUGACAGAGGAUAUCUAAAUAUGAGAGCAUCACAAUGAUUCUUUUUCAUUCCUUUACUCUGUCCCUGCUCCUGUUGCAGAGAGAUCAGGUUCCGAACCUGACUUCAGACUACUGUGCAGAGCAACCUAGAGACUUGACAGAAAUUUGAAUGAGUGAGUUGCUUCACGGAUCUGGCUAAAAUGCCUGAUGUAAUUAUAGUGAGAGGAGGAAGUAUAAGCAAAUUCUCACCCUCUAUCUUACUUGUAGCUGGCAGCUGCAUUCAUGAUCCCAUCAAUUCGGACAAUAUUGCCAGCACCACUGGCAGAAAUGCAGACCCUACACCAUGUUUGCAGAGAAAGUGUUUACUACGGAGGUACAGUGAGAGAAAACCAGUCCACAAUAGAGGCACACUGCUUAUCAGGAAAGUAACAAUAACAUAACUUUAUUCAUGCAUGGUAACAAAGUAACAAUUUUAAUGGAAAAGACUACUACCAAAGAGGGUGGGAUCAAACAGUGAGUGACAUCAUCUUCAUUUCCACCAUGUUUCACAGAAUGCCACAAGCACUCAUUCUUCCAUCUCUCUUCUUCUCACAUAUAUCGUUGAUGAUUGGACCCAAAAACUUCAAACUUGGAUUUGUCACUCCAUAAUACUCUUUUCCACUGAUGUUCAUUCCAAUCUUUGUGAGCUUUAGCAUAUUUUAGCCUUUUCACCCUGUUCCCCUUCCGAAAAAUGUGGUUUCUUGGCUGCUACCCUUCCACAAAGACCAUUCUUGAUCAAGCUUCUUCGGACUGUAGAAGGGUCAACUUGGCAUCCCGAUGAAGCUGCCAGAUACUCAGCCAGGUCCUUGCUAGACUUCUUCCGGUCUCUCAAAGAAGAAACUCUGAGAAACUUCUCAUCAGAUUUUGAACGUUUUCUUGGCCUUCCAGUCCUGUUUUUGUCCUUGACCUCUCCUGAUUCUUUAAAUUUCUUUAUUACAGCUUGAAUACCACAUCUUAAGUAUCCAGUUUGUUUGCUGAUUUCCCUUUGAGAGUGGCCUUGCUGAUGCAAAAGUAUGAUUUUAUGUCUGUCAAAUCCUGUGACCGUUGGCAUUUUGAAUGGAAUGAUGUGAUUGAAAGUUGGUCUUAUCAGCAAGCGUCUAAUGAAUUAAACUUAUACCACAUGUGUAUGUAAUGCUCAAGCAUGUCUUGCACAAACCUUUUUCACAGAAGUCGUUUUGACAGGAAAUAGUAGGACAAAUAUUUGUGUUAGCAAUGAUAUUAUAUUAAUUAGGGUUCCAUUCUAUUUAGGUUUACGAGAGCCAGGUUUCUGCUAUUGUUCAAGUGUAAGAGGAGGUCACAUUAAAUACUAUUAUUUUAUCUGUUUUUUAAUACUGCAUACACAUAUCCUGUAUUUUCUGGUUGUACUCUAAUAAAGAGACUGAGAAAUAA
This is a long non-coding RNA of Bombina bombina (fire-bellied toad), 1422 nucleotides long. RefSeq lists it as uncharacterized. The transcript has 2 exons. The record is from RefSeq and is a predicted model, not a curated record. NCBI's taxonomy places the organism in Eukaryota, Metazoa, Chordata, Amphibia, Anura, Bombinatoridae.